CAGAGACACUGAGACAGUAACCACGCAGUGUCCUGUGCAUUUACUUCAGCCCAGCAGGCUGAAGCUUCUGAACCAGUAAUGUCAUAAAUGACUGGACUCAGCCAUUUAACAGACUGGCUAUAAAAUACCAGAUAUCACUGAAUUUCUGAAUUCCAGCAGGAAACACAAGGAGAAGUUCUAAAAUAUCACAAGAAAAGCAGAUUUCUGAACCAAGGUGUGCUGUGCAAUCUAUUAUUGAAGUCCAUGGAUACUUAAGAGGUUGGGAUGCUUCAGACCUGGUGCAGGUAGGGUCAAGUACCGUGGAGAGCAUUGAUGAGUUCAUCCACCUCAGCUGAUGAGUUCAUCCAACUUAGCUGCAAGCAGCAUUGAAAUGGUUGCAACAAACCAGAUGUUUUUCUUUCUGCCUCCUGCAUGAAGUCACUCUGAACACUAAAGGAGGCAGAAACAUCUUUGUGCUGAGACAAAGUUCAGGAGCUAUCAAAUCUAUGU
Mauremys reevesii (Reeves's turtle) is the source of this 489-nucleotide long non-coding RNA. RefSeq lists it as uncharacterized. The record is from RefSeq and is a predicted model, not a curated record. The transcript has 3 exons. NCBI's taxonomy places the organism in Eukaryota, Metazoa, Chordata, Testudines, Geoemydidae.